UCUCCGUUGGUGAACCAGCGGAGGGGUCAUUAUAGAGUUUUCUAAACUCCCAACCCAUGUGAACUUACCUUUUGUUGCCUCGGCAGGAGUUAUAGGUUACCCUGUAGCUGCUGCCGGUGGACCAAUAAACUCUUGUUAUUUUAUGUAAUCUGAGCGUCUUAUUUUAAUAAGUCAAAACUUUCAACAACGGAUCUCUUGGUUCUGGCAUCGAUGAAGAACGCAGC
This 224-nucleotide unclassified non-coding RNA is filed under the name uncultured fungus. RNAcentral describes it as "sequence contains ITS1, 5.8S rRNA gene". The stretch from base 176 to 224 matches the Rfam family "5.8S ribosomal RNA", at positions 1 to 49 of the family's 154-position model. Lineage: Eukaryota; Fungi. The record is from RNAcentral.